This is a long non-coding RNA of Dreissena polymorpha, 359 nucleotides long. RefSeq lists it as uncharacterized. NCBI's taxonomy places the organism in Eukaryota, Metazoa, Mollusca, Bivalvia, Myida, Dreissenidae. The record is from RefSeq and is a predicted model, not a curated record. The transcript is spliced from 3 exons.
GUUUCCACUGUUUCCAAGGAGGUUAUGUCAGGCAGAACCAAGUAUGUGAUGGAAAUAGCGACUGCAAUGAUGCAUCUGAUGAACUUAAUUGCCCCAGCAGAUGUCACUUUUACCAUAAAGAGUUGACUGGUGCAAAUGGCACUCUGGCUUCAUUUGUUUACCGGAAUGCACAGACAUGUACAUGGGCCAUUGAGACUGCUGUUGGGACCAAUGCAUUUGUGGAGCUGAGGGACUUUACCAGUGAAGAGUCGGCCGACAUUGCCACCAUAUAUGUGGGAAGUCUAGACCCAACCAGAGCCACAGUUGUUGGCCAGCUAUCAGGCACUGUAGGGACACGGCAGUUUAGAAGCUUCAACAAC